RNAcentral lists this ribosomal RNA (377 nucleotides) under uncultured eukaryote. RNAcentral describes it as "partial 18S ribosomal RNA". It matches the Rfam family "Eukaryotic small subunit ribosomal RNA", at positions 592 to 976 of the family's 1831-position model. The record is from RNAcentral.
CAAUAGCGUAUAUUAAAGUUGUUGCAGUUAAAAAGCUCGUAGUUGGAUUUCGGGGCAGCCUGGCUGGUCCGCCGCAAGGCGAGUACUGGUCAGCCGCCCUUCCUCUCGAAAGCCCCGACUGCUCUUCGUUGCAGUGGUCGGGUAGUUCGGGACGUUUACUUUGAAAAAAUUAGAGUGUUCAAGGCAGGCCUACGCCUGAAUACAUUAGCAUGGAAUAAUGGAAGAGGACCUCGGUCCUAUUUUGUUGGUUUCCAGGGCCGAAGUAAUGAUUAAGAGGGACAGUUGGGGGCAUUCGUAUUUAAUUGUCAGAGGUGAGAUUCUCGGAUUUAUGAAAGACGAACAACUGCGAAAGCAUUUGCCAAGGAUGUUUUCAUUAA